UCAAGAGGGAAGUUGUCUAGUUUCCGAUGACAACGAAUGUACCACCACAAUCCCGAUUCUCCAUCUUCCUGCAACCAGGCAAGGGACCAACCUGCGUCUUGCACCUUCCGUAACAUUCCCUCGCUGAUAUACACUUAACCAGACUUAAAGGACAACAGUCAUGACGGACUCCAAAUAUUUCACAACAAACAAAAAAGGGGAGAUCUUCGAACUGAAGGCAGAGCUGAACAAUGAGAAGAAGGAGAAGAGAAGAGAGGCAGUAAAGAAGGUCAUCGCUGCCAUGACAGUUGGCAAAGAUGUCAGUUCUUUGUUCCCAGAUGUGGUGAACUGCAUGCAGACCGACAACCUGGAGCUGAAGAAGUUGGUCUACCUCUACUUAAUGAACUACGCCAAGAGCCAGCCUGACAUGGCCAUCAUGGCCGUCAACAGCUUCGUCAAGGACUGUGAGGACCCCAACCCUCUGAUCCGGGCUCUGGCCGUCCGUACCAUGGGCUGCAUCCGGGUGGACAAGAUCACAGAGUACCUGUGUGAGCCGCUGAGGAAGUGCCUGAAGGAUGAGGACCCAUACGUCAGGAAGACGGCGGCUGUUUGUGUGGCUAAACUUCAUGACAUCAACGCCCAGAUGGUGGAGGACCAGGGAUUCCUGGACUCCCUGAGAGAUCUCAUUGCUGACUCCAAUCCCAUGGUUGUGGCCAACGCAGUCGCUGCCCUGUCUGAGAUCAGCGAGUCUCACCCCAACAGCAACCUCCUGGACCUCAAUCCACAGAACAUCAACAAGCUGCUGACGGCCCUCAACGAGUGCACGGAGUGGGGACAGAUCUUCAUCCUGGACUGCUUGUCCAACUACAACCCCAAGGAUGAGCGCGAGGCCCAAAGCAUCUGUGAGCGCGUCACUCCCCGGCUGUCUCACGCCAACUCCGCAGUGGUGCUGUCAGCUGUCAAGGUGCUGAUGAAGUUCUUGGAGCUGUUGCCCAAGGACUCAGACUACUACAACACCUUGCUGAAGAAGUUAUCCCCGCCGCUGGUCACCUUACUCUCCGGAGAGCCUGAGGUCCAGUACGUGGCUCUGAGGAACAUCAACCUCAUUGUCCAGAAAAGGCCUGAGAUCCUGAAGCAGGAGAUCAAGGUGUUCUUUGUCAAGUACAACGACCCUAUCUAUGUGAAACUGGAGAAACUGGACAUCAUGAUCCGCUUGGCCUCUCAGGCCAACAUUGCCCAGGUGCUGGCUGAACUGAAGGAAUACGCCACCGAGGUGGAUGUUGACUUUGUGCGCAAGGCUGUACGAGCCAUCGGACGCUGCGCCAUCAAAGUGGAGCAAUCAGCUGAGCGCUGUGUCAGCACCCUGCUGGACCUGAUCCAGACCAAGGUCAACUACGUGGUUCAGGAGGCUAUUGUGGUCAUCAGGGACAUCUUCCGCAAGUACCCCAACAAGUAUGAAAGCAUCAUUGCCACACUGUGUGAGAAUCUGGACUCUCUGGAUGAGCCCGAUGCCCGUGCUGCCAUGAUCUGGAUUGUUGGCGAGUACGCCGAGAGGAUCGACAACGCUGACGAGUUGCUGGAGAGCUUCCUCGAGGGCUUCCACGAUGAGAGCACCCAGGUCCAGCUCACUCUUCUGACUGCCAUUGUCAAGCUGUUCCUUAAGAAGCCGUCAGAGACUCAGGAGUUGGUACAGCAGGUCCUCAGCCUGGCCACUCAGGACUCUGACAACCCUGACCUGCGUGACAGGGGCUACAUUUACUGGCGCCUGUUGUCCACCGACCCUGUGACUGCCAAGGAGGUGGUGUUGUCAGAAAAGCCCCUGAUCUCAGAGGAGACAGACCUGAUUGAGCCCACCCUACUGGACGAGCUCAUCUGCCACAUUGGCUCCCUGGCCUCUGUCUAUCACAAACCUCCCAGCGCCUUCGUCGAGGGCAGUCACGGAAUCCACCGGAAACACCUUCCUGUGCAGCACAGCAGCAUUGAUACAGGUGAGAGCCCAGUGAGCAGCGGGCCAGCAGCUGCCAUGGACCAGCCACAUGUGAUCCCCAGCCAGGGUGACCUGCUGGGUGACCUGCUGAACCUGGACCUGGGCCCUCCAGUCAAUGUGCCCCAGGUCUCCUCCAUGCAGAUGGGGGCAGUGGACCUUCUGGGAGGAGGCCUGGACAGUUUGCUGGGGGGAGACCUGGGCGGCGGUGUUGGGGGAAGUCCAGCAGUGGGACAGAACUUCAUCCCCUCAUCUGUCCCCAGUACUUUUGCUCCGUCACCUACACCAGCUCCUCAAGCUGUCAGCAGUGGCCUUAGCGACUUGUUUGAGCUUUCCACAGGCAUGGCCAACACCACUGGAGGCUAUAUUGCCCCAAAAGCCGUGUGGCUGCCUGCAGUGAAAGCCAAGGGACUGGAGAUCUCUGGAACCUUCUCUCGCCGCCAGGGCCACAUGUACAUGGACAUGACCUUCACCAACAAGGCCCUGCAACACAUGACCGACUUCGCUGUCCAGUUCAACAAGAACAGUUUUGGGAUGAUCCCUACCAGUCCUCUGCCCGUUCACACUCCGCUGAUGCCCAGCCAGACUAUCGAGGUGUCUCUGCCUAUCAACACCAUUGGGCCAGUCAUGAAGAUGGACCCACUCAAUAAUCUGCAGGUGGCUGUGAAGAACAGCAUCGAUGUCUUCUACUUCAGCGUACUCAUCCCUCUCAACAUAUUCUUUGUUGAAGAUGGAAAAAUGGAGCGACAGGUGUUCCUGGCUACCUGGAAAGACAUCCCCAAUGAAAAUGAGCUACAAUACCAGAUAAAGGAAUGCCACCUAAACGCAGGACACUUACAACUCGCCCAUAAUUGAGCCACUAUUAUCCUGGCAGCAGGACGGCUAACAACCCAUGGUGGUUGUUCUUAGCAGGCCCGGUGUUGUAGAAUACCUCGCCAGGUUUACUGCAAUCUAAAGGGUUUCCAGUCAUAGUUAAUUGAAAUCCUCUUAGAGCUAAUUAACUCCCUGAGUUAAAAUUCCCUGAUAACCCUUUUGCCAGUAGUAGAGUGUGCAUUAGCUCGUGUGUGUACAUUAGUGUUAGUGCCUUUAGUGAUUACAGCCUCUUGUGUGUGUGUGUGUGUGUGUGUGUGUGUGUGUGUGUGUGUGUGUGUGUGUGUUUCAUGUGGUUUCUCUUUGUUCGGUAAUUCAGGUGUUAAUUACUUGACCUUGGUUCUGGUCUUGCAGACACAGUAUCAGGGAAGCUGCAGAAUAACAACAUCUUCACCAUUGCCAAGAGAAACGUAGAAGGCCAGGAUAUGCUCUACCAGUCCCUCAAGCUAACCAACGGCAUCUGGAUCUUGGCUGAGCUCCGCAUUCAGCCUGGCAACCCCAACUACACGCUGUCUCUCAAGUGUCGGGCCCCCGAGGUUUCUCAGUACGUCUACCAGACGUACGACGCUGUGCUGAAGAACUGACCAGCUCUCACACUUUGCAACUCGGCUUAAUCCUGACAACAAACUGCAGUGUUUUAUCCUUUUCUGCCGUCUGCAGCUAACUGCCAAAACAAAGGAACCCAAACAGUAAAUGGUACUCAAUCAUUUGGAACAUUGGGUGUAUUUUUCCUCUGAAGAGAUCAACCAGGCAAAUGUUAAUACUGGAUAAGUUGAACAGUACAAACAAUGUUGACGUUUCCUUCGUUUUGGCAGUGGAAAGCUUUACUGAAUCCACUUAUUCAACUCCCCAUUUCAAUGUUCACCUCCCAGUGAAACAAUGUCUGCCAUUCCAUCCUUAAUUCAGUGUCUCAAUGUUGUAAAGAUGUGACUGAUGGUAAAACUGUCAUGAGUGACAACAAAUCUCCCCAGUUUCCAUGAAGCCGUUGUUUUUUUAAAAUUUUGAAUGCUGUAUGGCUCACACUCCUUUUGGUUUUGAUUUAUUUUUGAUAUUGACUUUGCUUCAGUUGCACCUAGAGAAUAAUACCAGUGUUGAUUUGUUCCUUUUUGCCUUUUAAUGUGUGUGAAGAGUCCAAACCAACAAUGUGAUUGUCAGAAGCUACUUACGUCUGUCCUACAGCAGGUUUGCCUCCUGCAGGUUAUAGCUUAUUUCUAGCGACAUGCUGAAUUAACAAACAUUAUAAAUCACAUUGAGCACAUUGAGCAGCAUAUGCACUCCUGUUUUUUCCUGUCAUGACUUUAACACAGCGUCUUGUAUUUAAUGGCAUUACUUACGAUUUGUGCAGUGUGUAGAUAGAAACUACUUUUUCCUCCGUAAGUAUGAAACUGUGCAGUAAUUGAAAAAAACUUCAAAUGACAUUCCAAAACCAUUGGAAAAAGAAAAGAGCACCAGGAACUCUAAUGUAACUACUAAAUCCUGGCAUUUUAUUGCUGCUUCCCACCUGUGAAUUAUGUUAGUCACACUUCCCUGCCUGUCUCUUGCCUUUUGUGGUCCAUCUGGAGACUCUACAUCGCAGGUGAUAAAACACAGAAGCAGGUCCCGCAAAGGUCUUAAUUACAAACGGCUUUCCAUCACCUUUCAGCACGUACUGUCUUUAACACUCCACCUUUUUUUUUUUUUACCUCAGUUGAUGUGAAUGUCUUAGGAAUAUUUAGCUUUUUUUCUUUUCUUUGUCUUUUCGAUGUUUUAAUGCUCAAACUUUUUAAAAGAAAUCAUAAAAACAGGUGACUAGGAUGCACCAGAGCAUUCUAAAUGCAAAAAGGAAUCAAUUGUGAAAUGCCAUGCGAAGAAGCUUCAAUGGAACUGUUUUGGCAUAAAAGAGCAAAUAUUUCCGUGAUUAUAAAGUCAUGUUAGAAAGAAAAAAAAAAAUACAUGCAGUGUGGUGAGGUUUCUGCAGGCUGUUUAAGUGGAGGAACACAAAUCGUCAGUAAAACGGACAGUCGAGACGCUUCUGACUGCAAGUAACGCACAGUACAUUUCUUGAAUUCUUGUUUAAAUCGCAAGGUUGCCAUUGUUUUCAAAUUGAAAGUGUUCACUUAUGAGCUUGGAACCACUACACUAACCACAGCAGCUACUGAUUAUGUGCUCACACACAGCAGUGCCACUGUUUUAAGAACAUUUGCUAGUUCCUUUCACAUGUCAUUCUUUUUGUAAUAGCCCCGUUUACUGCAACCACAUCGUUUUCACAUGGCUUUAUGCACCUAUAUUGUCAUUCCUAUUUAUUGUGCAUCUACCUCUGCUGUUUCCUUUUUUAACUGGCUUUAUUGUGGCUGUAGCUUCAAUUCUGUAAUGUGCUUUAAAUGGCGUCGCCUUUUCUUUUCAUACCAGUGUUGUUUCUGUAAUCUUCAUGCCAUUGUUGUCAAGCCAGUCUAAACCUGUGGCAAGUCAGGCGGACCGAUCACACAGGACCAAGCAGUCACGCAAAUGAAAUGCCAAGCUUGUGUUUUAACACCCUAGUGUCAAUAUAAUCUCCUACUGUUGGCUUUGUGUGUGCUAUAGAUCAUAGGGUGCAUACGCCCUAAGGCCCAGAGUUGGGCGAGUAAAGUGUAGUCCAGUGAUGGUGUAGUUUAUGUAGCUAAUACAUUAAAAUGUUUUGGUAUUACCCUGAAAAGGAAAUGAAGCCUAACCUCUAUCUAUUCAACAGAAAAGGUCCUUUCAGCGUAACAGUUGUGUUGGUGACACUAUUUUCCUACAUGGUAAUGUAAAAAUACAUUUAUGUGCCUGCAUGAACCCACUGUCCAUUUUAUCCUUUUUUUUCAUUUAGGCUGUGGCUUUGCUCCAUUUAAAAAUGAUUCUCCCAUCUUCACGUCUCUGUUGUAGAUCUCAUGUUUCUUUUUUUUGAGCAGCAUUGUCUCCAGCGCUCCCACACAUAGAGGUAUAUCCACAACUUUUGCCAGCAAUACAGAAAGUAUGGUGAGAGCUAUCUUAUUCCUAGCAUCAUUGCUGUAGCCCUGUUGUAAAUGAUUUGUUAUUGUCACAGUACCACAUCUUAUGUCAUUAAAAUGUAAAAAAAA
Sander lucioperca (pikeperch) is the source of this 5907-nucleotide RNA transcript. It is a transcript of the gene named adaptor related protein complex 2 subunit beta 1, with no coding region annotated. Lineage: Eukaryota; Metazoa; Chordata; Actinopteri; Perciformes; Percidae. The record is from RefSeq and is a predicted model, not a curated record. The transcript is spliced from 22 exons.